CCGCGGAAGAGUCGAGAACGGUCCGAGCAGUAAUUCGCGCCGUGGUGUGUUCAAGAAGUUAGUUUAGCAUAGGCAAGAUAGUGCAUAGUGCAAUUUUGGCGGUUUUCUGGUGCGAGCGUAGACUUGCGGAUAAAGCGAUUUGUGGCAAGUUGCGGAAGCCCGGCACACCACCCCCCGUUUUUAGAACGACCGUUUUCGUCCCGCCUUCCUGCUACGAAGACGUGUACCCGGCGGUACACGUGGCCGGAGAGGGCAGCACACGUUAUUCCCGCGCCCUAGGCAGGGCAGUAGCAACGGGUCCGGCUUUGAGCCGGCCAUUUCCAUCAACGAAAGUGUCCCGAGUGGAAACAAGCGUCCAAAAAGUUUUUUCGUUCGGAUUCGAUCCGGCGACGACCAGCGUGGCAAGCACGACCGAGUCCACUACACCACCGGCGGUGACGAUCGUCGGUGCGACGGCCGUACCCCGUCGAGAAGACCACAGAUCCCCAUGGGAGGCGCCGUUUGAGAACGGCCACACCAGCGAAGAGAAGGAGGAGAUUCCCACCAGGAGUCAACGGGAGAGCGCGUUUUGCACGCGCGCAGAAUUGCACCGUAGCCGCGAAUGCCCCCACGUAGAUAGACAGCGUCCAAACCGUAAGUAGCAUGCAUGCUUUCUUUUUCCCAUGCGCAUGGUGAGAUCUUGC
Long non-coding RNA from Aedes albopictus (Asian tiger mosquito), 683 nucleotides. RefSeq lists it as uncharacterized. NCBI's taxonomy places the organism in Eukaryota, Metazoa, Arthropoda, Insecta, Diptera, Culicidae. The transcript is spliced from 3 exons. The record is from RefSeq and is a predicted model, not a curated record.